GACGAAGGGGGCUAGCGUUGCUCGGAAUUACUGGGCGUAAAGCGCGUGUAGGCGGCUGUUCUAGUUGGGCGUGAAAGCCUUGGGCUUAACCCAAGAAAUGCGCUCAAUACUGGAUAGCUAGAGGACCGGAGAGGAUAGUGGAAUUCCCAGUGUAGUGGUGAAAUACGUAGAGAUUGGGAAGAACACCAGUGGCGAAGGCGGCUAUCUGGACGGUUUCUGACGCUAAGACGCGAAAGCGUGGGGAG
RNAcentral lists this ribosomal RNA (245 nucleotides) under uncultured Nisaea sp. Its description in RNAcentral is "partial 16S ribosomal RNA". It matches the Rfam family "Bacterial small subunit ribosomal RNA", at positions 524 to 768 of the family's 1533-position model. The record is from RNAcentral. Lineage: Bacteria; Pseudomonadati; Pseudomonadota; Alphaproteobacteria; Rhodospirillales; Thalassobaculaceae.